CUUGCUCUGGCUGACGAGUGGCGGACGGGUGCGUAACGCGUGGGAAUCUACCUUAUAGUGGGGGAUAGCCCGGAGAAAUCCGGAUUAAUACCGUAUACGCCCUUUGGGGGAAAGAUUUAUCGGAGAAGGAUCGGCCCGCGUUAGAUUAGUUAGUUGGUGGGGUAAUGGCCUACCAAGACUACGAUCUAUAGCUGGUUUGAGAGGAUGAUCAGCAACACUGGGACUGAGACACGGCCCAG
RNAcentral lists this ribosomal RNA (239 nucleotides) under uncultured bacterium. Its description in RNAcentral is "partial 16S ribosomal RNA". It matches the Rfam family "Bacterial small subunit ribosomal RNA", at positions 79 to 334 of the family's 1533-position model. The record is from RNAcentral.